CCCUUAGAUGUCCUGGGCCGCACGCGCGUUACACUGAUGCAUUCAACGAGCUUAUAACCUUGGCCGAGAGGCCUGGGCAAUCUUGUUAACGUGCAUCGUGAUAGGGGUAGAUUAUUGAAAUUAUUAAUCUUGAACGAGGAAUUCCUAGUAAACGCAGAUCAUCAAUCUGCAUUGAUUACGUCCCUGCCCUUUGUACACACCGCCCGUCGCACCUACCGAUUGGAUGGUCCGGUGAAGCCUCGGGAUUGUGGUUCUUGCCGCUUUGUUGUGGCGUGACCGCGAGAACUUGUCUAAACCUUAUCAUCUAGAGGAAGGUGAAGUCGUAACA
RNAcentral lists this ribosomal RNA (328 nucleotides) under uncultured eukaryote. Its description in RNAcentral is "partial 18S ribosomal RNA". It matches the Rfam family "Eukaryotic small subunit ribosomal RNA", at positions 1470 to 1796 of the family's 1831-position model. The record is from RNAcentral.